AUACACCAGUGAUGACUUUAUACAUCCUUACCUACAUUAUCUGAAUGUGCAGUGAUAAAGAAAUCAAUUCUGAGGUGUGU
Small nucleolar RNA from Bacillus rossius redtenbacheri, 80 nucleotides. RefSeq annotates it as small nucleolar RNA SNORD34. The transcript has a single exon. The record is from RefSeq and is a predicted model, not a curated record. NCBI's taxonomy places the organism in Eukaryota, Metazoa, Arthropoda, Insecta, Phasmatodea, Bacillidae.